CAGCCGCCGCGGUAAUACGUAGGUGGCGAGCGUUGUCCGGAAUUAUUGGGCGUAAAGGGCUCGCAGGCGGUUUCUUAAGUCUGAUGUGAAAGCCCCGGGCUCAACCGGGGAGGGUCAUUGGAAACUGGGAAACUUGAGUGCAGAAGAGGAGAGUGGAAUUCCACGUGUAGCGGUGAAAUGCGUAGAGAUGUGGAGGAACACCAGUGGCGAAGGCGACUCUCUGGUCUGUAACUGACGCUGAGGAGCGAAAGCGUGGGGAGCGAACAGGAUUAGAUACCCCUGUAGUCCCUGUCUCUUAUAC
RNAcentral lists this ribosomal RNA (301 nucleotides) under uncultured bacterium. Its description in RNAcentral is "partial 16S ribosomal RNA". It matches the Rfam family "Bacterial small subunit ribosomal RNA", at positions 509 to 807 of the family's 1533-position model. The record is from RNAcentral.